Molecule: long non-coding RNA, 671 nt
Organism: Peromyscus maniculatus bairdii (prairie deer mouse)
Lineage: Eukaryota; Metazoa; Chordata; Mammalia; Rodentia; Cricetidae
Source: RefSeq, a predicted model, not a curated record
CUGGUCUGUAGGCUGGGUGACUUCACACGGAGCACUGGUACUGGUCUGUAGGCUGGGUGACUUCACACGGAGCACUGGUACUGGUCUGGCCACCUGCUGUCCAGGAGACACAUUUUUAUUGCAGUGUUUAAGGGAACCCCUGUAGAGACACAGCAAAACAACGAGAGAGAAGAGAGGGCAAAGCCUGCCGGGAAGUGGCAUGCAGAGCCACAUUUUAGCGUACCACCACACGGUGCCCACAGCACUGGGGUGCCGAGCCAGCAGAAAUGAUUUCUUCAGCAAAUGUACCAGCUGUCAUCACUGAAGUAUGGGCAAACCCAGAAGACCUAUGAUGCCUGGAGCUCCAAGUUGAGUACUCUUCAGGGCCAUCUCGGGCUGGAGAAGUACAGGCAGCAUUUCUGAGGCUGGACCACCUGGGGCUAGCUGCUUUGAAGAUGUCCUGGAUACAGAUUUGAGGGAGCACCUGAAGCUGGCAAGUUGCUGAAGCAGUCUACAGUUGAUUUGAAAUCUGUUGGGACAGAUAGACUAGGAAGAGAAGGUAUUAUGUUUAUACAGUGAAGAGACCCACGGAGGUUUCCCAGUGAGAACUUACUCAGGAUCCAAGAAUUUACCCAGCAGUGAGACACGCCUGCUCCUGGCUGCACCAAUCUACUUUAGAGAAGAUGAUGGGC